RNAcentral lists this long non-coding RNA (941 nucleotides) under Homo sapiens (human). Its description in RNAcentral is "HSALNT0008061". The record is from RNAcentral. Lineage: Eukaryota; Metazoa; Chordata; Mammalia; Primates; Hominidae.
GGCAGUUUGAAAGGCCUCCAAAAAAGCAUGACAUUCAAUCAAAGUUCAGCAAGGAAAGUUUUAAUGAAUAAACUUAGUAAAUUAGAAAGCACUGCGGCAGAGUGAUUAACUCUCAUUUGGGCAUUAGUGUUGAAAUUAAUUAAAAUGUUUAAGCCAUAGGAGGCAGGCUACCUCGUCAGGACCUGGCUCUGCCCUCGGAGUCAGUCUGGAUCCAGGAGUGAUUCAUCUUACACAGAUGAGAGGGGGAUAAAAGGAAAAGAACAGUCAGGACAAAUGUGUUUUCAAUGGUGCUUAGCAGCAGGAGACCACUGGGACUUCAGAGCAACGCUACUGGAGUGUGACAUCAUAAUACGUACCACAUAUGAAAGGAGGGUGGCCUAGAGACUGUUGAAUAUGCUAACUCCUAAUAAAGGACUGGAGAAAAGGAAGCCCAUACUACAUUUGAAUUUAAAGAAAAACAGGUUGCAUCCUUGCAUUAAAGGAGAAUGGGAACCAGGCUAGAGCCAAAGAUCUUCCAGCCUUUCUCUGGAAUGGACCGAAUAUGGAAUAACAUGGACAUGUCUGAUGCACAUCUGGAGAUGGGACGGCAGCGCAUAAUACUUCCUGGAACUGCGAGACAAUGGGGUUGUCUUUUGACAUUGAGGCAGGUUAUUAAAUAGAAGUGUGAACUAUUAAGAGAUGAUCUUGACCCUCAAUACAUUUUUAUCAAAGUCAAAAAAUAUUUGACACCACUGAACAGCUUAUCACAGGCACAAAAGGGGAAAUGCUUUAUUAUGGAAAUGUGUACUAUGUUCUUCAAAACAGAAGAAUAAAAAUAUAUGCAUUUUUAAAUGAAUAACAGCUUGUAAGACUCCCAAUGAUUAACAGCAGUUGUACAUUAAGUAUUCUCUGAAAUGAUAUUUGUAAACUGGAGGGUUGACCAAUCUUAGUGCGAACUUCCU